This 73-nucleotide transfer RNA is filed under the name Buchnera aphidicola (Lipaphis pseudobrassicae). RNAcentral describes it as "tRNA-Ala". It matches the Rfam family "tRNA". Rfam says of the family: Transfer RNA (tRNA) molecules are approximately 80 nucleotides in length. Their secondary structure includes four short double-helical elements and three loops (D, anti-codon, and T loops). The record is from RNAcentral. Lineage: Bacteria; Pseudomonadati; Pseudomonadota; Gammaproteobacteria; Enterobacterales; Erwiniaceae.
GGGGCUAUAGCUCAGUUGGUAGAGCGCUUGCAUGGCAUGCAAGAUGUCAGUGGUUCAAUUCCACUUAGCUCCA